AACCGGAUUAGAUACCCUGGUAGUCCACGCCGUAAACGAUGUCGACUUGGAGGUUGUGCCCUUGAGGCGUGGCUUCCGGAGCUAACGCGUUAAGUCGACCGCCUGGGGAGUACGGCCGCAAGGUUAAAACUCAAAUGAAUUGACGGGGGCCCGCACAAGCGGUGGAGCAUGUGGUUUAAUUCGAUGCAACGCGAAGAACCUUACCUGGUCUUGACAUCCACGGAAGUUUUCAGAGAUGAGAAUGUGCCUUCGGGAACCGUGAGACAGGUGCUGCAUGGCUGUCGUCAGCUCGUGUUGUGAAAUGUUGGGUUAAGUCCCGCAACGAGCGCAACCCUUAUCCUUUGUUGCCAGCGGUCCGGCCGGGAACUCAAAGGAGACUGCCAGUGAUAAACUGGAGAAAGGUGGGGAUGACGUCAAGUCAUCAUGGCCCCUACGACCAGGGCUACACACGUGCUACGAUGGCGCAUACAAAGAGAAGCGACCUCGCGAGAGCAAGCGGACCUCAUAAAGUGCGUCGUAGUCCGGAUUGGAGUCUGCAACUCGACUCCAUGAAGUCGGAAUCGCUAGUAAUCGUGGAUCAGAA
RNAcentral lists this ribosomal RNA (583 nucleotides) under uncultured Gammaproteobacteria bacterium. Its description in RNAcentral is "bacterial SSU rRNA". It matches the Rfam family "Bacterial small subunit ribosomal RNA", at positions 771 to 1354 of the family's 1533-position model. Lineage: Bacteria; Pseudomonadati; Pseudomonadota; Gammaproteobacteria. The record is from RNAcentral.